This 500-nucleotide ribosomal RNA is filed under the name uncultured organism. RNAcentral describes it as "bacterial SSU rRNA". It matches the Rfam family "Bacterial small subunit ribosomal RNA", at positions 32 to 507 of the family's 1533-position model. The record is from RNAcentral.
AAUCAACGCUGGCGGCGUGCCUAAUACAUGCAAGUCGUACGCGAAGACCCCGCAAGGGGUUGUUAGCGUGGCAAACGGGUGAGUAACGCGUGGGCGACCUGCCCUCGAGUGGGGGAUAACCUUCCGAAAGGAGGGCUAAUACCGCAUGACAUACCGUGUUUGGAUACACGGAUAUCAAAGCCGGGGAUCGCAAGACCUGGCGCUUGGGGAGGGGCCUACGUUCGAUUAGCUAGUUGGUGGGGUAAUGGCUCACCAAGGCGACGAUCGAUAUCCGGCCUGAGAGGGCGGACGGACACACUGGGACUGAGACACGGCCCAGACUCCUACGGGAGGCAGCAGUAGGGAAUUGUUCGCAAUGGGCGCAAGCCUGACGACGCAACGCCGCGUGGAGGAUGAAGACCUUCGGGUCGUAAACUCCUUUCGACCGAGAUGAACAGCCAUCGACCUAAUACGUUGAUGGCCUGACAGUACCGAGGGAAGAAGCCCCGGCUAACUCCGUG